CCUACGGGAGGCAGCAGUAAGGAAUCUUGCGCAAUGGGCGAAAGCCUGACGCAGCGACGCCGCGUGGGCGAUGAAGGCCUUCGGGUUGUAAAGCCCUUUUCUGGGGGACGAGGAAGGACGGUACCCCAGGAAUAAGUCACGGCUAACUACGUGCCAGCAGCCGCGGUAAAACGUAGGUGGCAAGCGUUAUCCGGAAUCACUGGGCGUAAAGGGCGUCUAGGCGGACGGGUAAGUCGUGCGUGAAAGCUUCCGGCUCAACCGGGAGAGGGCGUACGAUACUGCCUGUCUUGAGGGGACCAGAGGAGAGUGAAAUUCCCGGUGUAGUGGUAAAAUGCGUAGAUAUCGGGAGGAACACCAGUGGCGAAGGCGGCUCUCUGGGGUAAACCUGACGCUGAGGUGCGAAAGCGUGGGGAGCGAACCGGAUUAGAUCCCCGGGUAGU
Molecule: ribosomal RNA, 440 nt
Filed under: uncultured Anaerolineae bacterium
Lineage: Bacteria; Bacillati; Chloroflexota; Anaerolineae
Description: partial 16S ribosomal RNA
Rfam family: Bacterial small subunit ribosomal RNA
Source: RNAcentral